UACGGAGGGGGCUAGCGUUGUUCGGAAUUACUGGGCGUAAAGCGCACGUAGGCGGCUUUGUAAGUUAGAGGUGAAAGCCCAGGGCUCAACUCUGGAACUGCCUUUAAGACUGCGAGGCUUGAACACGGGAGAGGUGAGUGGAAUUCCGAGUGUAGAGGUGAAAUUCGUAGAUAUUCGGAAGAACACCAGUGGCGAAGGCGGCUCACUGGACCGUUGUUGACGCUGAGGUGCGAAAGCGUGGGGAGCAAACAGG
RNAcentral lists this ribosomal RNA (253 nucleotides) under uncultured bacterium. RNAcentral's name for it is "partial 16S ribosomal RNA". It matches the Rfam family "Bacterial small subunit ribosomal RNA", at positions 524 to 776 of the family's 1533-position model. The record is from RNAcentral.